RNAcentral lists this ribosomal RNA (98 nucleotides) under Acanthosepion pharaonis. The record is from RNAcentral. Lineage: Eukaryota; Metazoa; Mollusca; Cephalopoda; Sepiida; Sepiidae.
UUGAAACACUGGUUCUUGUAUGAUCACCGAAGUUAAGCAACAUUGAGGCUGGUCAGUACCUAGAUAGAUGACCACUUGGGAAUACCAGGUGCUGUAAG